UNGUUCUCUUGUUGCCUUGGAAAUCACUG
This 29-nucleotide non-coding RNA is filed under the name Mus musculus (house mouse). Lineage: Eukaryota; Metazoa; Chordata; Mammalia; Rodentia; Muridae. The record is from RNAcentral.